Molecule: ribosomal RNA, 1554 nt
Filed under: Escherichia coli O91:H21
Lineage: Bacteria; Pseudomonadati; Pseudomonadota; Gammaproteobacteria; Enterobacterales; Enterobacteriaceae
Description: bacterial SSU rRNA
Rfam family: Bacterial small subunit ribosomal RNA
Source: RNAcentral
AAAUUGAAGAGUUUGAUCAUGGCUCAGAUUGAACGCUGGCGGCAGGCCUAACACAUGCAAGUCGAACGGUAACAGGAAGAAGCUUGCUUCUUUGCUGACGAGUGGCGGACGGGUGAGUAAUGUCUGGGAAACUGCCUGAUGGAGGGGGAUAACUACUGGAAACGGUAGCUAAUACCGCAUAACGUCGCAAGACCAAAGAGGGGGACCUUCGGGCCUCUUGCCAUCGGAUGUGCCCAGAUGGGAUUAGCUUGUUGGUGGGGUAACGGCUCACCAAGGCGACGAUCCCUAGCUGGUCUGAGAGGAUGACCAGCCACACUGGAACUGAGACACGGUCCAGACUCCUACGGGAGGCAGCAGUGGGGAAUAUUGCACAAUGGGCGCAAGCCUGAUGCAGCCAUGCCGCGUGUAUGAAGAAGGCCUUCGGGUUGUAAAGUACUUUCAGCGGGGAGGAAGGGAGUAAAGUUAAUACCUUUGCUCAUUGACGUUACCCGCAGAAGAAGCACCGGCUAACUCCGUGCCAGCAGCCGCGGUAAUACGGAGGGUGCAAGCGUUAAUCGGAAUUACUGGGCGUAAAGCGCACGCAGGCGGUUUGUUAAGUCAGAUGUGAAAUCCCCGGGCUCAACCUGGGAACUGCAUCUGAUACUGGCAAGCUUGAGUCUCGUAGAGGGGGGUAGAAUUCCAGGUGUAGCGGUGAAAUGCGUAGAGAUCUGGAGGAAUACCGGUGGCGAAGGCGGCCCCCUGGACGAAGACUGACGCUCAGGUGCGAAAGCGUGGGGAGCAAACAGGAUUAGAUACCCUGGUAGUCCACGCCGUAAACGAUGUCGACUUGGAGGUUGUGCCCUUGAGGCGUGGCUUCCGGAGCUAACGCGUUAAGUCGACCGCCUGGGGAGUACGGCCGCAAGGUUAAAACUCAAAUGAAUUGACGGGGGCCCGCACAAGCGGUGGAGCAUGUGGUUUAAUUCGAUGCAACGCGAAGAACCUUACCUGGUCUUGACAUCCACGGAAGUUUUCAGAGAUGAGAAUGUGCCUUCGGGAACUGUGAGACAGGUGCUGCAUGGCUGUCGUCAGCUCGUGUUGUGAAAUGUUGGGUUAAGUCCCGCAACGAGCGCAACCCUUAUCCUUUGUUGCCAGCGGUCCGGCCGGGAACUCAAAGGAGACUGCCAGUGAUAAACUGGAGGAAGGUGGGGAUGACGUCAAGUCAUCAUGGCCCUUACGACCAGGGCUACACACGUGCUACAAUGGCGCAUACAAAGAGAAGCGACCUCGCGAGAGCAAGCGGACCUCAUAAAGUGCGUCGUAGUCCGGAUUGGAGUCUGCAACUCGACUCCAUGAAGUCGGAAUCGCUAGUAAUCGUGGAUCAGAAUGCCACGGUGAAUACGUUCCCGGGCCUUGUACACACCGCCCGUCACACCAUGGGAGUGGGUUGCAAAAGAAGUAGGUAGCUUAACCUUCGGGAGGGCGCUUACCACUUUGUGAUUCAUGACUGGGGUGAAGUCGUAACAAGGUAACCGUAGGGGAACCUGCGGUUGGAUCACCUCCUUACCUUAAAGAAGC